CUUGCUGACGACCGGCGCACGGGUGCGUAACGCGUAUACAAUCUACCUUACACUGGGGGAUAGCCUUUGGAAACGAAGAUUAACACCCCAUAGUAUUUUAGUUUCGCAUGAGAUUAGAAUUAAAGGUUACGGUGUAAGAUGAGUAUGCGUCCUAUUAGCUAGAUGGUGUGGUAACGGCACACCAUGGCAACGAUAGGUAGGGGCCCUGAGAGGGGGAUCCCCCACACUGGUACUGAGACACGGACCAGACUCCUACGGGAGGCAGCAGUGAGGAAUAUUGGACAAUGGGCGAAAGCCUGAUCCAGCCAUGCCGCGUGCAGGAAGACUGCCCUAUGGGUUGUAAACUGCUUUUGUACGGGAAGAAAUCCUCCUACGUGUAGGAGCUUGACGGUACCGUAAGAAUAAGCAUCGGCUAACUCCGUGCCAGCAGCCGCGGUAAUACGGAGGAUGCAAGCGUUAUCCGGAAUCAUUGGGUUUAAAGGGUCCGUAGGUGGAUUGGUCAGUCAGAGGUGAAAUCCUGCAGCUUAACUGUAGAACUGCCUUUGAUACUGCUAAUCUUGAGUCAUUAUGAAGUAGUUAGAAUAUGUAGUGUAGCGGUG
This 599-nucleotide ribosomal RNA is filed under the name Seonamhaeicola algicola. RNAcentral describes it as "bacterial SSU rRNA". It matches the Rfam family "Bacterial small subunit ribosomal RNA", at positions 84 to 683 of the family's 1533-position model. The record is from RNAcentral. Lineage: Bacteria; Pseudomonadati; Bacteroidota; Flavobacteriia; Flavobacteriales; Flavobacteriaceae.